CGGGACACGUGGUAUCCUGUCUGAAUAUGGGGGGACCAUCCUCCAAGGCUAAAUACUCCUGACUGACCGAUAGUGAACCAGUACCGUGAGGGAAAGGCGAAAAGAACCCCGGCGAGGGGAGUGAAAAAGAACCUGAAACCGUGUACGUACAAGCAGUGGGAGCCUCUUAAUGGGGUGACUGCGUACCUUUUGUAUAAUGGGUCAGCGACUUAUAUUCUGUAGCAAGGUUAACCGAAUAGGGGAGCCGAAGGGAAACCGAGUCUUAACUGGGCGUUAAGUUGCAGGGUAUAGACCCGAAACCCGGUGAUCUAGCCAUGGGCAGGUUGAAGGUUGGGUAACACUAACUGGAGGACCGAACCGACUAAUGUUGAAAAAUUAGCGGAUGACUUGUGGCUGGGGGUGAAAGGCCAAUCAAACCGGGAGAUAGCUGGUUCUCCCCGAAAGCUAUUUAGGUAGCGCCUCGUGAAUUCAUCUCCGGGGGUAGAGCACUGUUUCGGCAAGGGGGUCAUCCCGACUUACCAACCCGAUGCAAACUGCGAAUACCGGAGAAUGUUAUCACGGGAGACACACGGCGGGUGCUAACGUCCGUCGUGAAGAGGGAAACAACCCAGACCGCCAGCUAAGGUCCCAAAGUCAUGGUUAAGUGGGAAACGAUGUGGGAAGGCCCAGACAGCCAGGAUGUUGGCUUAGAAGCAGCCAUCAUUUAAAGAAAGCGUAAUAGCUCACUGGUCGAGUCGGCCUGCGCGGAAGAUGUAACGGGGCUAAACCAUGCACCGAAGCUGCGGCAGCGACACUAUGUGUUGUUGGGUAGGGGAGCGUUCUGUAAGCCUGUGAAGGUGUGCUGUGAGGCAUGCUGGAGGUAUCAGAAGUGCGAAUGCUGACAUAAGUAACGAUAAAGCGGGUGAAAAGCCCGCUCGCCGGAAGACCAAGGGUUCCUGUCCAACGUUAAUCGGGGCAGGGUGAGUCGACCCCUAAGGCGAGGCCGAAAGGCGUAGUCGAUGGGAAACAGGUUAAUAUUCCUGUACUUGGUGUUACUGCGAAGGGGGGACG
This 1050-nucleotide ribosomal RNA is filed under the name Escherichia coli. Its description in RNAcentral is "partial 23S ribosomal RNA". It matches the Rfam family "Bacterial large subunit ribosomal RNA", at positions 418 to 1474 of the family's 2925-position model. The record is from RNAcentral. Lineage: Bacteria; Pseudomonadati; Pseudomonadota; Gammaproteobacteria; Enterobacterales; Enterobacteriaceae.